AGGAGGACAUUCUGAAAGUUUUGAGUUUUGGUAUUUACCUGGCCUUGAUUAGGUUGAGAACAAUUCAUAGCCGUAUCAAAAGCAUAGGCAUAAUUAUGCUGAGGUUGCAAUCCUGAUGAAUUCCUUUGUUCUCUG
Long non-coding RNA from Pipistrellus kuhlii (Kuhl's pipistrelle), 135 nucleotides. RefSeq lists it as uncharacterized. Lineage: Eukaryota; Metazoa; Chordata; Mammalia; Chiroptera; Vespertilionidae. The record is from RefSeq and is a predicted model, not a curated record. The transcript has 3 exons.